GUCCACGCCGUAAACGAUGAGAACUAGCCGUUGGACCCCUUGAGGGUUUAGUGGCGUAGCUAACGCGAUAAGUUCUCCGCCUGGGGAGUACGGCCGCAAGGCUAAAAACUCAAAUGAAUUGACGGGGGCCCGCACAAGCGGUGGAGCAUGUUGUUUAAUUCGAUGCAACGCGAAGAACCUUACCACCCCUUGACAUCCUCGGAACUUGGCAGAGAUGCCUUGGUGCCUUCGGGAACCGAGUGACAGGUGCUGCAUGGCUGUCGU
This 264-nucleotide ribosomal RNA is filed under the name uncultured bacterium. RNAcentral's name for it is "partial 16S ribosomal RNA". It matches the Rfam family "Bacterial small subunit ribosomal RNA", at positions 793 to 1055 of the family's 1533-position model. The record is from RNAcentral.